RNAcentral lists this ribosomal RNA (2890 nucleotides) under Vibrio parahaemolyticus. RNAcentral's name for it is "LSU rRNA". It matches the Rfam family "Bacterial large subunit ribosomal RNA". RNAcentral also lists the same sequence under 1 other name. The record is from RNAcentral. Lineage: Bacteria; Pseudomonadati; Pseudomonadota; Gammaproteobacteria; Vibrionales; Vibrionaceae.
GGUUAAGUGACUAAGCGUACACGGUGGAUGCCUUGGCAGUCAGAGGCGAUGAAAGACGUAGUAACUUGCGAUAAGCCCAGAUUAGGUAGUAACAACCAUUUGAGUCUGGGAUUUCUGAAUGGGGAAACCCACGUGCAUAAGCACGUAUCCUUACCUGAAUACAUAGGGUAAGGAGGCGAACCGGGGGAACUGAAACAUCUAAGUACCCCGAGGAAAAGAAAUCAACCGAGAUUCCGAAAGUAGCGGCGAGCGAAAUUGGACUAGCCCUUAAGCUUUACACGCGUUAGACGAACGGUCUGGAAAGUCCGACGAUACAGGGUGAUAGUCCCGUAGUUGACGACGUGUGUUCAGUGAAAUCGAGUAGGGCGGGACACGUGAUAUCCUGUCUGAAUAUGGGGGGACCAUCCUCCAAGGCUAAAUACUACUGACUGACCGAUAGUGAACCAGUACCGUGAGGGAAAGGCGAAAAGAACCCCUGUGAGGGGAGUGAAAUAGAACCUGAAACCGUGUACGUACAAGCAGUAGGAGCAGGCUUUGUCCUGUGACUGCGUACCUUUUGUAUAAUGGGUCAGCGACUUAUAUUCAGUGGCAAGGUUAACCAUCUAGGGGAGCCGUAGGGAAACCGAGUCUUAACUGGGCGUUCAGUCUCUGGAUAUAGACCCGAAACCAGGUGAUCUAGCCAUGGGCAGGUUGAAGGUUGAGUAACAUCAACUGGAGGACCGAACCGACUAAUGUUGAAAAAUUAGCGGAUGACUUGUGGCUAGGGGUGAAAGGCCAAUCAAACCUGGAGAUAGCUGGUUCUCCCCGAAAGCUAUUUAGGUAGCGCCUCGGACGAAUACUACUGGGGGUAGAGCACUGUUAAGGCUAGGGGGUCAUCCCGACUUACCAACCCUUUGCAAACUCCGAAUACCAGUAAGUACUAUCCGGGAGACACACGGCGGGUGCUAACGUCCGUCGUGGAGAGGGAAACAACCCAGACCGCCAGCUAAGGUCCCAAAUUACUACUAAGUGGGAAACGAUGUGGGAAGGCUCAGACAGCCAGGAUGUUGGCUUAGAAGCAGCCAUCAUUUAAAGAAAGCGUAAUAGCUCACUGGUCGAGUCGGCCUGCGCGGAAGAUGUAACGGGGCUAAGUAGUAAACCGAAGCUGCGGCAAUACUCUUUGAGUAUUGGGUAGGGGAGCGUUCUGUAAGCGGUUGAAGGUGUGUGGUAACGCAUGCUGGACGUAUCAGAAGUGCGAAUGCUGACAUGAGUAACGAUAAAGGGGGUGAAAAACCUCCUCGCCGGAAGACCAAGGGUUCCUGUCCAACGUUAAUCGGGGCAGGGUAAGUCGACCCCUAAGGCGAGGCCGAAAGGCGUAGUCGAUGGGAAACGGGUUAAUAUUCCCGUACUUCUUACAAUUGCGAUGGGGGGACGGAGAAGGCUAGGUGGGCCUGGCGACGGUUGUCCAGGUUCAAGUGCGUAGGCUUAAGAGUUAGGUAAAUCCGGCUCUUUUUAAGGCUGAGACACGACGUCGAGCACCUACGGGUGUGAAGUCAUUGAUGCCAUGCUUCCAGGAAAAGCCUCUAAGCUUCAGAUUGUAAGGAAUCGUACCCCAAACCGACACAGGUGGUCGGGUAGAGAAUACCAAGGCGCUUGAGAGAACUCGGGUGAAGGAACUAGGCAAAAUGGUACCGUAACUUCGGGAGAAGGUACGCUCUUGAUGGUGAAGUCCCUUGCGGAUGGAGCUGACGAGAGUCGCAGAUACCAGGUGGCUGCAACUGUUUAUUAAAAACACAGCACUGUGCAAAAUCGUAAGAUGACGUAUACGGUGUGACGCCUGCCCGGUGCCGGAAGGUUAAUUGAUGGGGUUAGACUUCGGUCGAAGCUCUUGAUCGAAGCCCCGGUAAACGGCGGCCGUAACUAUAACGGUCCUAAGGUAGCGAAAUUCCUUGUCGGGUAAGUUCCGACCUGCACGAAUGGCGUAAUGAUGGCCACGCUGUCUCCACCCGAGACUCAGUGAAAUUGAAAUCGCUGUGAAGAUGCAGUGUACCCGCGGCUAGACGGAAAGACCCCGUGAACCUUUACUACAGCUUGGCACUGAACAUUGACCCUACAUGUGUAGGAUAGGUGGGAGGCUUUGAAGCACGUACGCCAGUAUGUGUGGAGCCGUCCUUGAAAUACCACCCUUGUAGUGUUGAUGUUCUAACGUCGACCCCUAAUCGGGGUUGCGGACAGUGCCUGGUGGGUAGUUUGACUGGGGCGGUCUCCUCCCAAAGAGUAACGGAGGAGCACGAAGGUGGGCUAAUCACGGUUGGACAUCGUGAGGUUAGUGCAAUGGCAUAAGCCCGCUUGACUGCGAGAAUGACAAUUCGAGCAGGUGCGAAAGCAGGUCAUAGUGAUCCGGUGGUUCUGAAUGGAAGGGCCAUCGCUCAACGGAUAAAAGGUACUCCGGGGAUAACAGGCUGAUACCGCCCAAGAGUUCAUAUCGACGGCGGUGUUUGGCACCUCGAUGUCGGCUCAUCACAUCCUGGGGCUGAAGUCGGUCCCAAGGGUAUGGCUGUUCGCCAUUUAAAGUGGUACGCGAGCUGGGUUUAGAACGUCGUGAGACAGUUCGGUCCCUAUCUGCCGUGGGCGUUGGAAGAUUGAAGGGGGCUGCUCCUAGUACGAGAGGACCGGAGUGGACGAACCUCUGGUGUUCGGGUUGUGUCGCCAGACGCAUUGCCCGGUAGCUAAGUUCGGAAUCGAUAACCGCUGAAAGCAUCUAAGCGGGAAGCGAGCCCUGAGAUGAGUCUUCCCUGAUACUUUAAGUAUCCUAAAGGGUUGUCGGAGACUACGACGUUGAUAGGUCAGGUGUGUAAGUGCUGUGAGGCAUUGAGCUAACUGAUACUAAUUGCCCGUGAGGCUUAACCAU